GCCGUCGUGGCGUAAUGGUAGCGCGUCGCUUUCCUAAUCUAUUAAUAGGCGAAGGUUAUGCGUUCGAUACCCAUCGUCGGUA
Mucidula mucida is the source of this 82-nucleotide non-coding RNA. The record is from the annotation of a GenBank genome assembly. Lineage: Eukaryota; Fungi; Basidiomycota; Agaricomycetes; Agaricales; Physalacriaceae.